CCUACGGGAGGCAGCAGUGGGGAAUUUUCCGCAAUGGGCGAAAGCCUGACGGAGCAAUACCGCGUGAGGGAAGAAGGUCUGUGGAUUGUAAACCUCUUUUGUUAGGGAAGAUAAUGACGGUACCUAACGAAUAAGCAUCGGCUAACUCCGUGCCAGCAGCCGCGGUAAU
RNAcentral lists this ribosomal RNA (169 nucleotides) under uncultured bacterium. RNAcentral describes it as "partial 16S ribosomal RNA". It matches the Rfam family "Bacterial small subunit ribosomal RNA", at positions 338 to 524 of the family's 1533-position model. The record is from RNAcentral.